Molecule: ribosomal RNA, 242 nt
Filed under: uncultured marine archaeon
Lineage: Archaea
Description: partial 16S ribosomal RNA
Rfam family: Archaeal small subunit ribosomal RNA
Source: RNAcentral
UUAAUAGGUCCGCCGUUGUUAAAACGGGGAAAGGAAGGGCUACGGCGGAUCAGUAUGCCCCGAAACUCUGGGGCCACACGCGGGCUGCAAUGGUAGCGACAAUGAGGUUCCAAACUCGAAAGAGAGUGGCAAUCCCUAAACGCUACCACAGUUAUGACUGAGGGCUGCAACUCGCCCUCACGAAUAUGGAAUCCCUAGUAACCGCGUGUCAUUACCGCGCGGUGAAUACGUCCCUGCUCCUU